GAUGAAGAACGUAGUGAAAUGCGAUAAGUAGUGUGAAUUGCAGAAUUCAGUGAAUCAUCGAAUCUUUGAACGCACAUUGCGCCUUCUAGUAUUCUGGGAGGCAUGCCUGUUUGAGCGUCAUUAAACCUCUCUCAAGUAUGAUUACUUGGAUGUGAAGGAAGAGUACCUUAAACUUAAGGAGUGUUCUCCUUUGAAAUUGAUUAGCAGAUGGUAAUGUUAUUAAAUCCCUGAUGUUGUAAGAAACAACAGUGGUUUUGUAGACUAUUAUCUAGCUUUAAAUUAUAAUUUUUAUUAUGGUUGACCUCAAAUCAGGUAAGGAUACCCGCUGAACUUAAGCAUAUCAAUAAGCGGAGGA
RNAcentral lists this unclassified non-coding RNA (355 nucleotides) under soil metagenome. RNAcentral describes it as "partial contains 5.8S ribosomal RNA, internal transcribed spacer 2, and large subunit ribosomal RNA". The stretch from base 1 to 120 matches the Rfam family "5.8S ribosomal RNA", at positions 35 to 154 of the family's 154-position model. The record is from RNAcentral.